Molecule: ribosomal RNA, 981 nt
Filed under: Triticum aestivum (bread wheat)
Lineage: Eukaryota; Viridiplantae; Streptophyta; Magnoliopsida; Poales; Poaceae
Description: partial small subunit ribosomal RNA
Source: RNAcentral
AUGCAGCUGGCUCAUACACUGUAUUACACUGUAUCAGAGAUAACACCGAAGAAAUUGUACAGAGCAACUCAUGUGAAUGCAGAGAAAAGAAGCACGUACUGUAAGACUGAUUUUGAAAUAGAAAUAACUGAUGAUGGGGAAAAGUACAGAUGCCAAUGCGGACUAUUUGACCACAUGGGUAUGGUAUGCUGCCACAUAAUCAAGGUGAUGAUGGUAUUGGAUGUUAAAAUGAUCCCGGCACACCAUGUCAUGAAACGAUGGACAAUAGAUGCACGUGACAUCCUACCUGACCAUCUUAAACAUUACCAGAAAGACACGAGUCCUAUUGAAUCUCCAACAUACAGAGACUCUUCUUUGUACAAUGCCGCACUUGAGCUGGUCAGACUUGGCGACACAAAUGUUAAGAGUUACGAGUUCACUAUUAAUUACAUAAAGGAAGGAUUAUUGAAUGUGGCCCCUCUUUGCAAUAGGGGAGAUGGCAUGAGUGUGUUGGACAAAGCUUCAAGUGUUGCUAGGUCAAAUGCAACAAGCAAAAUCAGGGGAGAUAUGAGCAUGAACAUGGCAGCUGAUGCACAAGAAUUUUCAGAACUCCGUCACAUUCAUAUGGCAAAAUGCACAAGGUCUGAAAGUUCGUGCAUGAAUGGAGGUGAUGCUAACGAAGGUGAAAGUUCAGAGUUAAUGAACGAUGUAUUCUCACCUGAUAGAAGUCACCAUGAGUUAUCCGCGCCACCUCCAAAGAGGUUGAAAGGCAGACCUACGACAGCAAGAGAGAAGGCGCCUUAUGAGAAGAAUGUUAAGAGAUCGAGAUUCUGCAAGAUUUGCAGGGGCGAAGGACACAAAUGCACAACAUGUUCAAUGAGAGGUGAUGCACCGGUUAAACCGCGAAAACAAUCUACUUGCACAAAUUGUGGUGUAGCAGGGCAUCGACGGAACAGUUGCGGCAAGAAGGCAAUGUUCAACGACAAGAUUGUUAUGGAAUGA